RNAcentral lists this ribosomal RNA (772 nucleotides) under uncultured bacterium. RNAcentral's name for it is "bacterial SSU rRNA". It matches the Rfam family "Bacterial small subunit ribosomal RNA", at positions 8 to 795 of the family's 1533-position model. The record is from RNAcentral.
AGAGUUUGAUCCUGGCUCAGAUUGAACGCUGGCGGCAUGCCUUACACAUGCAAGUCGAACGGCAGCACGGGGGCAACCCUGGUGGCGAGUGGCGAACGGGUGAGUAAUACAUCGGAACGUGUCCUGUAGUGGGGGAUAGCCCGGCGAAAGCCGGAUUAAUACCGCAUACGCUCUACGGAGGAAAGGGGGGGAUCUUAGGACCUCCCGCUACAGGGGCGGCCGAUGGCAGAUUAGCUAGUUGGUGGGGUAAAGGCCUACCAAGGCGACGAUCUGUAGCUGGUCUGAGAGGACGACCAGCCACACUGGGACUGAGACACGGCCCAGACUCCUACGGGAGGCAGCAGUGGGGAAUAUUGCACAAUGGGCGCAAGCCUGAUGCAGCAACGCCGCGUGAGGGACGACGGCCUUCGGGUUGUAAACCUCUUUUAGUAGGGAAGAAGCGAAAGUGACGGUACCUGCAGAAAAAGCACCGGCUAACUACGUGCCAGCAGCCGCGGUAAUACGUAGGGUGCAAGCGUUGUCCGGAAUUAUUGGGCGUAAAGAGCUCGUAGGCGGUUUGUCGCGUCUGCUGUGAAAACCCGAGGCUCAACCUCGGGCCUGCAGUGGGUACGGGCAGACUAGAGUGCGGUAGGGGAGAUUGGAAUUCCUGGUGUAGCGGUGGAAUGCGCAGAUAUCAGGAGGAACACCGAUGGCGAAGGCAGAUCUCUGGGCCGUAACUGACGCUGAGGAGCGAAAGCAUGGGGAGCGAACAGGAUUAGAUACCCUGGUAGUC